AGUGAACGCUGGCGGUAGGCCUAACACAUGCAAGUCGAACGGCAGCACAGUAAGAGCUUGCUCUUACGGGUGGCGAGUGGCGGACGGGUGAGGAAUACAUCGGAAUCUACUUUUUCGUGGGGGAUAACGUAGGGAAACUUACGCUAAUACCGCAUACGACCUACGGGUGAAAGCAGGGGAUCUUCGGACCUUGCGCGAUUGAAUUAGCCGAUGUCGGAUUAGCUAGUUGGCGGGGUAAAGGCCCACCAAGGCGACGCUCCGUAGCUGGUCUGAGAGGAUGAUCAGCCACACUGGAACUGAGACACGGUCCAGACUCCUACGGGAGGCAGCAGUGGGGAAUAUUGGACAAUGGGCGCAAGCCUGAUCCAGCCAUACCGCGUGGGUGAAGAAGGCCUUCGGGUUGUAAAGCCCUUUUGUUGGGAAAGAAAAGCAGCAGGUUAAUACCCCGCUGUUCUGACGGUACCCAAAGAAUAAGCACCGGCUAACUUCGUG
RNAcentral lists this ribosomal RNA (492 nucleotides) under uncultured bacterium. Its description in RNAcentral is "partial 16S ribosomal RNA". It matches the Rfam family "Bacterial small subunit ribosomal RNA", at positions 29 to 507 of the family's 1533-position model. The record is from RNAcentral.